Carassius auratus (goldfish) is the source of this 3551-nucleotide long non-coding RNA. RefSeq lists it as uncharacterized. The transcript is spliced from 3 exons. Lineage: Eukaryota; Metazoa; Chordata; Actinopteri; Cypriniformes; Cyprinidae. The record is from RefSeq and is a predicted model, not a curated record.
GAAACAGUCAGAGUCAGCGGUCAAGAGAGAGAUAAUAAUAAUAAUUUAAAUUAUUAACCAAAAGACCAGGAAAUGCUGUCUGUUUAAAAAGGCUAAACUCAGUGUUUAAGCUGAGUUUCAAUAUAAUUUAGGGAAGAAAGAACACAAAAGCUGAAUGCUGACUAAAGAAAAAGAUUUAGGUGAAGUGUCAAUGACCUGCUAUGACAGAAAUACUGCAGACAUGAAGUAAAGCGAGCGCUGGGAUGAGGGGAAAAAAAGAGGAAAAACCUCAGCAGACAGUACAAGCUGAUUCAGAGUUAUAAAAGAGGAAGAAAAACAUCAAUAUCAGCCAUCCAUGACACACGAGAGCAGCACAAACACAUUUCUCUGCUUUGAAUUUUCCAUCAGAAACCAGUUUCAGCAGUCACACUUCUCACUUCUUGACUGUCGUGAUCUGAACUCAGAAAGAGGAACAUGAACAUUUCAGGUUCAUUUUGAAAUGACAAACUACUUUCAGAAUAACGUCAUUAAUGGCUAUGUGACAGCACAAAAUUGUGUUGUAAUAGACAAAACGAGUCUCCAAAGGGUGACUCGUGACAAACUCAUAACAACCAGAAGGUCUCACUGCAGAAUGCAGAUAACACUAUCUGACAUCAAAAGCCAUGACUUCAGCAGUGUAGCAGAACAGCGGCUUCAAAACAACAGACAUCCCCGAUCUACACUGGACCUACGGCAUCUGAAAGGUGCUUUCAGGAAAGUGAUUUCCUAGAAUCACUGAACAGAUGGUUAAAGAAGUGCCUUGUGUUGAAAUAGUAGUUUUGUUUGUUUUAAAAUCAGUCAUUAUUACAUGUGAUCUGCGUUAUGAUCUGAAACCAGUCGAUUCAUGACAAACGACACAUUAAUUUAUGACCCCCCCCCCCCCCCCCAAAAAAAAAUGUCUUUGUUCAAACAGGUCAUAUAAUUUAAGAGUAAACCAGUCUUUUUUCUUUUUAUCUUUUCACAUGUAAGCUCUGAAUGGGUUCUCUGUCAUUAGGAGUAACCCUGAGCUUUACUACAAAGUAAAGUACCAGUAAAAAAAAUGUGCAGCUAUUCAACUCGUUCAAUCAUGCGUAGCGAAAUCAGAAUAAAGCUUUUCUUUAAAGUAAGAUUAUGUUGCGUCACACACUGACUCUCUUUUCUAAUCUUUCUCAGGAGGUAAGUCAGGGCAUUUUUCUUUCAUUUCUGCUUAAUUUUAAGUUGUUAAUUAUAUCUGGUUGAAAAUGAAUGAUUUUGUUCUUAAAAAAAGCUAUGUAUUUUAGCUUAUAGACACCAGCUCAAGUUCCACUGGCUGAAACCACCAGCCCACACCUUACCAAGUACGCCAAGUUGGAGUCGAUAAGAUUUUUUUUAAUGUUUAAGUCUCUAAUGCUCUUCAAAGUUAUAUUUAUUAAACCAAACAGGCUAUACAGUAAUAUUGUGAAAUAAUAUUUUAAAAACUGUGAUGUGAGGACAAAACUAAAUUCAGCAGACAUUCCUCCAGUCUUCAGUGUCACAUGAUCCUUCACAACUCAUUAUUUUAUGCUGAUUCUUAUUAUCUAUAUUGAAAAAUUAUAUGCUGCUUGAUAUUUUUGUGGAAGUCAUGUUUUUCAAACCUCUUUGAUGAAUAGAAAGAAAAUUUGUCUGAAAGAGCAAUCUUUUGUCAUAAUGUAAAAUAAAUCUGACUGACCAUAAACUUUUGAAUGGUAGUGUACAUGACUACAGUACAUUCUUUACAGAUUUUCUUACAACUAUUCUUUGGAAUCCAGUUUGAAUAUUAGUAUGAAUUAUUUAAAAAAUAAUUACAGAAAACAAACUACUGCAGCAACCUCCAAACACAACUGCUGUGUUCAGCAACCUUGAGAAGAGAGAUCUUUGAAGGUCCCAGUGGACAUCAAACUAGUCAAAAUGGUCAAAGCCUUGAUCCAGCAACUCCUGCCAAGGUAAGAAAAACAUUAAAUGUUUGUAUUUAUACAGUGAGAUCAUUUGUCCUUUACGGGGAAGUAGUUAACAUUACAAAAUGCCAAUAAAGCAGAUACCAGAUCCGGUCUUCUGCUUAUGAUGGUAGGAGCAACUGGAAAGGUUUUCUUUAUUUACAUAACUGACCAUGUUGUACCAAAGUCCUUACACUGCAGAAAGGCAGAUUUGAAUGAAUUAAGUGCAAACAUUAUUUCACAGCAAGGAAUGAAUACAUUAUGUCAAAGCCUGUAUUUUAACCUGAGCUAAAGGGAAGUUUCACCUGUCAAAAGAGAUGAAACGCUCUUAAGAAAAACUGCCUCAGAGCUACAUACUGCUUCACAUGUAUAUAGGAGCUCCUGAAACAUGCCACCCACUCCACGCCCAACUCAAAAACACACACAGAUCACCCGAGGGCUUGAAAAAGGGCUUUUGUCUAAAGAACAUGUGAGAUGUUUGAGUGCCAGAUAUGACUUGCUGAAUAUUAAAGGUGAAAUAGUUUAUCGUGAAGGUCAGUUAUAAGGCUCUGGAUCAACUGUCAAUACAGGGCUAAACAUUUCCAGCGAUGUUAACACCCACCGAUGUAUCCCAGGUUAAAGGAAUACCUUACACCGAACACUGAAUACUACACUUGGUUAAAAAUACUGAGGGUGGAGGUCAGAUUUCCAAGGAGAAGCGACGGAGACCCUCCCCCACAGCCACACAUACAGCUCACACCACAACACCACAACACCACAGCCCCUGCAUUUAACAUGCGAUGCGAAUCAACAACCUUCCCCGUUACAUUACAUUAAACAAGAGGGAUGCACUCCUCCGGCAUCGUGCAACGGAAGCAUUUCAUUCAUACACACAGACAACAACUCUGCUGAGUACAGACAUCCUCCAACCCCAACCCCAACACUCAUCAUGUGAGCUGCAGCUGUACAGAUCCAUUCAGCAUUGGGGGAGGUCAAUGGGAGAAGGGCCUCAGUCAGGAACAUGACCAAGAACCUGAUGGUCACUCCAGCGUUUCUCUGUGGAGAGAGGAGAACAUUCCAAGAACAACCAUUUCUGCAGCACUCCACCAAUCAGGCCUGAACGGUAGAGUAGUCAGACCCAAACCUACACUACAGUGAAAUAUGGUGGUGGCAGUGUCAUGCUGUGGGGAUGUUUUUCAGCGGCAGGGAGUGGGAGACUGGUCAUGAUCGAGGGAAAGAUAAAAAUGCAGCAAUGUACAGAGACAUCCUUGAUAAAAACCUGCUACAGAGCACUCACGACCUCAGACUGGGGUGAAGGUUCAUCUUCCAACAGGACAAUGACUCUAAGCACAUAGCCAAGAUAACAAAGGAGUGGCUACAGGCGACUCUGUGAAUGUCCUUGAGUGGCCGAGCCAGAGCCCAGACUUGAACCCAAUUGAACAUCUCUGGAGAGAUCUGAAAAUAGCUGUGCACUAACGAUCCCCAUCCCACCUGAUGACCCUUGAGAUGUCCCGCAAAGAAGAAUGGGAGAAAUUGCCCAAGGUGUGCCAAGCUUAUAGCAUCAUACUCAAAAAGACAUGAGGCUCUAAUUUGGUGCUAAAAGUGCUUCAACAAAGUAUUGAGCAAAGGCUGUGAAUACUUAUG